This 107-nucleotide small nucleolar RNA is filed under the name Gossypium arboreum. RNAcentral's name for it is "Plant small nucleolar RNA R71". It matches the Rfam family "Plant small nucleolar RNA R71". From Rfam's summary of the family: R71 is a member of the C/D box family of snoRNAs containing the C (UGAUGA) and D (CUGA) box motifs. Multiple nearly identical copies of this snoRNA have been identified in Arabidopsis, and it is thought to function as a 2'-O-ribose methylation guide for 18S ribosomal RNA. Lineage: Eukaryota; Viridiplantae; Streptophyta; Magnoliopsida; Malvales; Malvaceae. The record is from Rfam by way of RNAcentral.
AACCCAUGGUGAGGACACCUUCGUAAUAUGUCCUUGUAUCUUUCCCAUGCAUCAUAGAGUGUUUCUAGAUCCAUCUACAUAAAAGAAGAGAUAUCAUUCCUCAACUU